This 372-nucleotide ribosomal RNA is filed under the name uncultured organism. RNAcentral's name for it is "bacterial SSU rRNA". It matches the Rfam family "Bacterial small subunit ribosomal RNA", at positions 526 to 896 of the family's 1533-position model. The record is from RNAcentral.
CAGAGGUGGCAAGCGUUGUUCGGAAUUACUGGGCGUAAAGGGCGCGUAGGCGGCCUUCUUAGUCGGACGUGAAAUCCCCAGGCUCAACUUGGGAACUGCGUCCGAUACUGGAGGGCUCGAGUGCGGGAGAGGGAUGUGGAAUUCCAGGUGUAGCGGUGAAAUGCGUAGAUAUCUGGAGGAACACCGGUGGCGAAGGCGGCAUCCUGGACCGACACUGACGCUGAUGCGCGAAAGCUAGGGGAGCAAACGGGAUUAGAUACCCCGGUAGUCCUAGCCCUAAACGAUGAGUGCUUGGUGUGGCGGGUAUCGAUCCCUGCCGUGCCGAAGCUAACGCAUUAAGCACUCCGCCUGGGGAGUACGGUCGCAAGGCUG